Molecule: non-coding RNA, 1722 nt
Organism: Heterocephalus glaber (naked mole-rat)
Lineage: Eukaryota; Metazoa; Chordata; Mammalia; Rodentia; Bathyergidae
Source: RefSeq, a predicted model, not a curated record
UAUGGCUGUGCUCUAUGGCCAGAGAGCAGAAAGCUACAGCCUGUGCAUGUGACUUAUCUGUGGGCGCUGGCCCUACAAGAGAUCCCCCCCCCUUCAUAGGUGCCUCCUCUCUGAGCUGGCCUCAUGCGCAUGCAUUUGGAACUCAGCUCCGAUGCUGAAGUCAUACCCUUGAGAAAUAUCCCCCAACACUACUGUAGUCAGACUAAAAAAUGAGUCCUAGGAUGAACAGAUCAGAAUCCCGGAGAUACCUGAAUACCUGCACUGGCUCUCAGCACAUACCCUGCACCAGCGUAUGUGCACCUGUCAGAGAGGGGGGAUUAGUAAGUGUAAGGUAGUAAGCAAGAACAUUACCAAGAGUAGUUUGCCCUGUGAGAACAUGUGGACAUGAAGUACCACUGCCCAUGGUACUUUAAUCACCAGUAAGCAUACCUGGAUGACCCUGCAUUUGUAGCUGUCACAUUCACGGUGAUUCUAGGUGCAGGACCAAGGAUCUGACUAUUUUUAUUAUGUCUUCUCCUGUAGAUUUGCCAGAGUACUUUAAAUAUUAAAAUGCAUAUUCAUUUUAUUAUGAAUUACUUUUAUUCUUCCUGUAUAUUAACGACAGCAGUACAGUGAUUUAACAGUCUUGUACAUAGAUUAUUUGACUCUGAAAUUUAUUUCACGAUGUUAAAAGCACUGUGUAAUAUUUGCUAUAGUAGCAAGUGAUUAGAUAUUUAUGGUCAGCUAAAAUAAAAAUGAAUAAUUAGUUUUUAUUACAUUAGACUAAUUCUCUCAAUAAUUUGAACCCUAUCUCUUGUAUUGUUGUACAGAGCAAAGAAUACUUGUUUUAUUUUCCAUUAUGUUUGUUCCACAAAUACUGUUUGUCUAUGAUGUUAUUCACUGUGAAAUAACUAAGAGGAAGGGGAUCUUCUAAUUAAAAUACUAUACUGAAUAUUCAUCCUUGAUUUCUCACUUAGAAAUCACUUUAGAAAUGAACUGUAGCCAAUUUCAAGGCAGUAACGGCAGCACAAAUGGUCAAAAGGAUUAGAAACCCUAAAUAUGAAGGAUGAGACUAUAAAUCAUAUGAGAAAGAUCAAAUUGCUGAAAUGUAUCAUUUGUUUUCCCCAAAGACUACAUAUUUAAGAAAAGUGUCUUAUAAUGGAACAGACAUAGAAGAAAGUUAUAUUCAUAUAAUAGCUUUUAGAAAUUUAACAAAAAAUGAUUGAAAAGGUACUGAAAGUAGAAUGCUCAAAGAACAGAAUAGGAUCUCUGUCAUGUACACUGCUUUUAUUUCUCCCUGUCCUAACUCCAACCCCAAUGUUUCUUACAAGUUAGCUUUGUCCAAAACCCUCAGUAUUUGAUCUCAGGGCUUAGGAUUGUUUUUGAGGGGGGUUGAAGAUGGGGAAAAAUGAUGCCAAAGUAUGCUAGUAAAUUAGCACCCCAAAUCCUGAUGUUUAUUUUUGCAGAUGUAAACUACUCUGAAGUUGUGUUUCAUUUUAUGUAGCAGUUGUCUUAAGAAGUUCCAUGUGAAUAAAAUUUUGGUUUGUUUUGCUGUUGGAGACAUAACCCAUGUCAAGGACAAGCACAAGCUCUAUCACUGAGUGGCACCCCCAGCCCUAUAAGUAGAAUAUUUUUAAAUGAAGUAGUUUAUUUACCUUUUUCAUGAUUCCCUUCAUAGAAAGAAUAAUUUUAAGAAAGCAAAUCUUCAUUCUUCGAUGGUGCAAACACACACACACACACACA